Molecule: ribosomal RNA, 293 nt
Filed under: uncultured Glomeraceae
Lineage: Eukaryota; Fungi; Glomeromycota; Glomeromycetes; Glomerales; Glomeraceae
Description: partial 18S ribosomal RNA
Rfam family: Eukaryotic small subunit ribosomal RNA
Source: RNAcentral
CUUCAAUAGCGUAUAUUAAAGUUGUUGCAGUUAAAAAGCUCGUAGUUGAAUUUCGGGAUCAAUAUAUUGGUCGUGCCUCCGGUACGUACUGGUAUCGUUGAUUUCUACCUUCUGACGAACCAUGAUGUCAUUAAUUUGGUGUCAUGGGAAAUCAGGACUGUUACUUUGAAAAAAUUAGAGUGUUUAAAGCAGGCACACGCUUGAAUACAUUAGCAUGGAAUAAUGAAAUAGGACGUUUGACCCUAUUUUGUUGGUUUCUAGGAUCGACGUAAUGAUUAAUAGGGAUAGUUGGG